CCUACGGGAGGCAGCAGUGAGGAAUAUUGGACAAUGGGCGCAAGCCUGAUCCAGCGACGUCGCGUGAAGGAUGACUGCCCUACUUGUUUUAAACUUCUUUUGUAGAGGAGUAAAUUGCGGUACGUGUGCCUUUUUCUCUGUCCUUUAUGGAUCAGGAUCGGGCAACUCCGUGCCAGCAGCCGCGGUAAUCCGGAGGAUCCGAGCGUUAUCCGGAUUUAGAGGGUUUAAAGGGAGCGUAGAUGGGUGGUUAAGUCAGUUGUGAAAGUUUGCGGCUCAACCGUAAGAUUGCAAUUGAUACUGGCAGGCUGGAGUGCAGUUGAGGUAGGCGGAAUUCGUGGUGUAGCGGUGAAAUGCGUAGAUAUCACGAAGAACUCCGAUUGCGAAGGCAGCUUACUAGACUGCAACUGACAUUGAUGCUCGAAAGUGUGGGGAGCAAACAGGAUUAGAUACCCGUGUAGUC
RNAcentral lists this ribosomal RNA (460 nucleotides) under uncultured bacterium. Its description in RNAcentral is "partial 16S ribosomal RNA". It matches the Rfam family "Bacterial small subunit ribosomal RNA", at positions 338 to 795 of the family's 1533-position model. The record is from RNAcentral.